RNAcentral lists this unclassified non-coding RNA (226 nucleotides) under Hevea brasiliensis (rubber tree). Lineage: Eukaryota; Viridiplantae; Streptophyta; Magnoliopsida; Malpighiales; Euphorbiaceae. The record is from RNAcentral.
ACUUCCUAUCCUUGGUGUAUUCAGAACCUUUGCUGCGGUGGGUGUAGACCCUGCCAUUAUGGGAAUUGGUCCAGCUGUUGCAAUUCCAGCUGCUGUCAAAUCUGCAGGCCUUGAACUUGAAGAUAUUGAUCUCUUUGAGAUAAAUGAGGCAUUUGCAUCACAAUUUGUUUAUUGCCGGAAGAAGCUUGAACUUGACCCAGAAAAGAUCAAUGUCAAUGGAGGUGCA